This 856-nucleotide ribosomal RNA is filed under the name Foraminiferan sp. A109. Its description in RNAcentral is "bacterial SSU rRNA". It matches the Rfam family "Eukaryotic small subunit ribosomal RNA", at positions 1214 to 1815 of the family's 1831-position model. The record is from RNAcentral. Lineage: Eukaryota; Foraminifera.
CUUACCGGGUCCGGACACACUGAGGAUUGACAGGUGAACGUAGUUAGCUUGCUAUCUACUGCAAAUAUGCUAGUCCUUUCAUGAUUGUGUGAUAGGUGGUGCAUGGCCGUUCUUAGUUCGUGGAGUGAUCUGUCUGCUUAAUUGCGUUUCAGAUAAAGGUCUUUUGUAGUGCGUCUUUGGUGUGACCGUCUUCGGACGAUGUCCCCAUUGGCGGCUCAUUGACUUUGAAGGCAACGAACGUGACCGCAGCCCCUUGUUGCCUCCCUUGUAUUCAUCCGAGUACACUGCUACUUUGACAAUUGCUCUUCGUCGAGUUUUUGUUGGAGAUUUGCAGAGUGGAGUGCUAACUAGGGGGACAGCUGAAUUUCUAAGCAGAGGAAGGAUGCGGCAAUAACAGGUCUGUGAUGCCCUUAGAUGUUCCGGGCUGCACACGUGCUACAAUGAUUAUCGCACUGAGCUUCUUACCGGUCUGAAUGCGUAGCCUUUUGGUUGCGUAACUUCAGCAAACCUACUUUGGGAGGAGUAGGUAAUCACUUCAAAGUGAUGAUUCCCUAAGCAUAUAAAGCGUUUAGGCAGAUCUUUCUUCGGGGAGGUUUGUUUGAGCGUGCUCCGUUAGUUCGUGGUGGGGACAGACCAUUGCAAUUAUUGGUCUCGGUCUCAACUAGGAAUGCCUUGUACGGGUCGUUCAACAGACGGCCCGGAAUAUGUCCCUGCCCUUUGUACACACCGCCCGUCGCUCUUACCGAUGGACUUCUCUGUGAGGUUGAGGGACUUGCGCUUUAACGCUACAGAAACUCAUUCGAACAGUGUGGUCUAAAGGAAAGAGAAGUCGUAACAAGGCAUCGGUAGGUGAACC